Anopheles merus is the source of this 1296-nucleotide long non-coding RNA. RefSeq lists it as uncharacterized. The transcript has 4 exons. NCBI's taxonomy places the organism in Eukaryota, Metazoa, Arthropoda, Insecta, Diptera, Culicidae. The record is from RefSeq and is a predicted model, not a curated record.
GCCUGCACUCACACCUGGCACAAGGAUCAAGGAUCAACAGUACCGAACACGUUUGUUCGCGAUAUUUGCCCAUCAUCCGCACACCACGUGCACUCGAUUGAACUUUGGUGUCUGCUUUUGGGAUCGGGCGAAAAUCCAUCCAUUUUACAUGCCAGCUACGUGGCACAGUACAUUUGGGGACUAAGAGCACGCGCGCAUUAUAACAACCCUGCAUGUCCUGCGUCCCAUGACGAAGAGACAUAAUUACGCGAAAACAAUCCAUUACACUGCCUCGGUGGGUUUUUGGCAAUUUGGCUAGGAAUUCUUCAGCUUUGAUCCAUUGUGACGUGUUCUUACCUCGCUGUUUGCUAUCCUUUAUUGUUGUGGCUCUCCGAGUAAGCUAAACCAAAAAACAAGCAGGCUUUGGAUUUAUUUUCUGUGUGCUUUACCGCUUAAAAGGACAAUAGUGCGUACAGUGACGCGUAAAGCGUGUGCCGCAAACCGAACCAUCUCGUUCGUGGUAAUUUAAACAGAUCCUAAAGAAGGAUUCUUCAACCCGCAGUGCAUUUCUCUCUCUCUUUCUCUGUCUCUGCUGUAACUCAACGUUGACUAAUGUUUGAACACACAAACACGCUCACAUAUCAAGUCAUUAUCCUGAUUCGGAGUUAACCUCACUCAGAGAAAACCGUCGAAAACAACCGUCUGAACCAUUGGGAACACUUAAACGAACCGAAAAGUUGAACACGGACGCAUUAGCACGUUUCACAUGCUUUCGGUUUCCUAUAGCAAGAAUAGGGGGAAAACAACACGAUUGUCAACAGAAGGGUCACUGGCAGGAUGGGUAGUAACAUACAUGUUUCAGGUGAAAUCUGCCGGAAAAGUCUUACUCCCUGACAGGAACAACCCACAAAUCUUUACCGGGGGAGGGCUGGAGAACCCGUACAUGAAUGGGGACCGCCAAAAAGUCACACAACCACCGGUUCAGGCGAGUUUGGUGGCAGGGCGUGUAUGGUGAACUAUUUCCAAACUGGUAGACGACACCACAUGAAAUAUUAAAUCAUGCUGCUCCUGCUGCUGUUGCUGCAAACGGAAGAUAGGUGAAAAUAUCUCACGGUAUUGUGCCCGGUUCGGUAGGUUCCCACACACCCGGAGAUGAAUUAUUUCAACUUCGGAAAGUUUCUGGUAACUGUUUGUGUGUGAGUAUGAUGUGCAGAGGGUUACACAGGAUACUGCCUCGAACGGGUUGAAUGGUCGAUAAAUGCUUGUGCUUUGGCUAGGAUUGUUUCUUUUCUUCUUGGGAAUAAUGGGCGUUGGUAA